RNAcentral lists this ribosomal RNA (376 nucleotides) under uncultured bacterium. RNAcentral's name for it is "bacterial SSU rRNA". It matches the Rfam family "Bacterial small subunit ribosomal RNA", at positions 521 to 896 of the family's 1533-position model. The record is from RNAcentral.
UAAGACGAACCGUGCGAACGUUGUUCGGAAUCACUGGGCUUAAAGGGCGCGUAGGCGGCGCAUCAAGUCCGGGGUGAAAGCCCCCAGCUCAACUGGGGAAGUGCCUCGGAUACUGGUGCGCUCGAGGGAGGUAGGGGCGGAUGGAACUUCCGGUGGAGCGGUGAAAUGCGUUGAUAUCGGAAGGAACGCCGGUGGCGAAAGCGAUCCGCUGGCCCUCUUCUGACGCUGAGGCGCGAAAGCCAGGGGAGCAAACGGGAUUAGAUACCCCGGUAGUCCUGGCCCUAAACGAUGGGUACUAGCUUGUGGGCUUGACAUGGGCUCACAGGCGAAGCAAAAGUGUUAAGUACCCCGCCUGGGGAGUAUGGUCGCAAGGCUG